Molecule: long non-coding RNA, 3680 nt
Organism: Sceloporus undulatus (fence lizard)
Lineage: Eukaryota; Metazoa; Chordata; Lepidosauria; Squamata; Phrynosomatidae
Exons: 2
Source: RefSeq, a predicted model, not a curated record
UAUGAUUCUCACCUGCAUGCAUGAGGGUUUACCAGAAGCUCAGAUAUAUACUGUUGGGGCACACGCUACUCCUGCUGGGCUUAAGGGUUAUCCCACGUGGGAAGAAUACCAGGUGCAGAGGGGGGCAUCAGAAGAAGAUAUUUGGACCCCCCAUGGCCACCCAGGGGCCCCAUUGGCCUCAGCUGGGGGGCAGCCAGUUCUGCCAGGAGGCAGCAGCGGGUCAAGGCUGUGGCCUGCAAGAUGUGUGUGUGUGUGUUUUCCUCUUCAGCCAUACACUGCAGCAGCUGGUGCUGAGCCAAGCUCUCCUGACACAGUCCAAGUCAUGCAUCACAUGCAAAUGGUAUGUUGAAGGGACCGGCAAGCUUGGUGUAAAAUGAUUUCCAGCCAUAAAGUGAUUUAGAUUAAUGUGGGAGACAAGAGCACCAAGUUCACAGUGGCAACCUAGUCCUUGCCAACUCUCAGGCCUAUUUGCUUGUCUCCCCUCUGCCUGAGACAGCAGAGUUGCCACCAUAGGUACUCCUUCAUCUUCCUCUUCUUUGCCUAGGAGGGGAUCCCAAGGCCAGCCAGAGGUCUCCAAGUGGUAUGGUGCUGGUGCGGUGAACACAUGCUCGGCUUCUCCUCGCAGGGAGGAGGCAGGCAAGGAAGAGCUGGCUGCAGCAGGGUGGACAUGCCUUUCAACUCCAUCUGACCCUAACCCUAAGCCCCCAACAGACAACAGUUGUACUCUGUUCACCCAACCUGGUGUUUUGCAAUCACCUACCAUUGAGAUGAAGAAAUAGGUGCCAGUGAGCGCCAGUCCUCCUGUGAUGUGGAGCAAAGAUGGGGGGGGGACCCUUCAAAGUAGUCUCAAGAGCAGCCCUCCAAGGGUCACUGAGCCACUGGCUGGACGUGGAUGGGUGUUGCAGCCUGGUCUCUGGAGGGUGGCAUGCUGCCCAUCCCCAGCCAAAUGUCCAGUGGCUGCCUCUGCCUCACCUAAUCCCCCUCCAGGUGCCUUGGCUGCAGCCCCUUCUUGGCUUUUCCUUCCCCCUUUUAUCCGCUGUGUGGGGAAGGUCAGGCCACCAGGAGAGAGGGACCCAAGGGACAGGUGGCACCCCCAGCUGCCUCUCUGGCUCCACCACGUGCCUUCCACCCUCAGCCUGGUUUGGCCGGGACCCUCCCGAUUAAUCCUCUCUUGCCCCACUUUUUCAGCUCUUUAAAAUGUUGAGAGCCAGCACAGUGAACUACAGGGUUGGGGAGGCUGCUUGGGGCCCUUGGGGCUGUUCCUGUGGGACCCAGGGCCACAGAAGCAUCUAUAUAUGUGUGUUGGCUCUCAACAUUUUAAAAAGCUGAAAAAGUGGGAUGACAGAGAAUUAAUUCAAGGGUCCUGGUCAAGCCAGGAUGGGUCUGGAGGGCACACGGUGGAGACAGUGAAGCGGGGAGUGCCACCCCAACACCCCAUGCCUUGAGGGCAAGUGGUUUUGCAAAUCACACACACCCCUACCUUUGCAACAUGGGAUCUGCUGUGGGGAACGUUUUAUCAUGGGUUAUCACCUCCCCCCCCACUGGGGAAGAAAGGCAGGGCUGCUAGGGCUGGUCAGGGUGAAGGGCCAAAGCCAGAGGCUUUAGUAAGCACAGCAACUUGCUCUGAGGAAAGGUCACAAGACUUGGGGUUGGGGGGGUCCCUUGACUGGAUGCAGACAUUGAAAUGCCUGCCAACUCCACCUGACCCUAACCCUAAGCCCAAAACAGACAACAGUUGUACUCCGCUCACCCAACCUGGUGUUUUGCAAUCACCUGACAUAGAGAUGAAGAAAUAGGUGCCAGUGAGCGCCAGUCCUCCUGUGAUGUGGAGCAAAGAUGGGGGGGGGGGGAACCCUUCAAAGUACAGUAGUCUCAAGAGUAGCCCUCUCCCUCCCCAUCCGAAAGGCCCAGAAGUCUCCUCUGGCAAAGUGGACCGGCACUGCUACCCAGUGGAGAGACUGAGGUAUUGCCAGUUCCCAAAGGAUGCGUGCUUCGGUGGGAGGAAGGUGCUGGUGGAGCGGUCAGAGAAUGGGUCCUGAUCCAACCCCCCUCCCCUACUCCAAGACAGACCACCUCCAAAUGCUAGGGAAUGGGAGGGGGAGAGGAACCACUCAUUGGCCCUUGGUUAAGAAGUGGUUAAUUUGCUUUGGGGCCUUGCUUGGCUUUUAAUUCCCUGCCUGCUUGAGGCAGCAGCAGAACUGGGGGCUCUGCAGGAUGCACACACACACUGUUUGGAAAGAAAGAAUGAAAGAGUGAUGGCAGCAAAGGUCAGGGGACACCAAGUGGCAGCAUGGAGCAAGCCCCCCCCCAGUGACCUCCUUGGUUUUGGAGGGGAGUGUCUCUGGGUGCUUAUGCUGGACACAGUUUCCAGGCCGACAUCCCACCCCACCCCACCCCAAAUCCUGGAGCUGCCCAGGAAAACACCUGCGGAUAAUGCAGAUGGCAGGAGGGAGCGCUGGACCCUUAAUGUCCUCCUCUUCCUCCUGCAGCUUUGGGGUUCAUCAGAGGAUAGCAGAGUCCUGAGCAGGAGCUGUAAUUAAAGCAGACAGCGCGGCAAUCCCUUAAUCGGGCCGCUUGCCCUUCUCUCUCAGCAGCCGAGAGGAAAGUUUCACAGCUGAAGUUAAAAAAGGAAAACGGAGGAAGCUCCGGCUGAUGCUGCUUUUAAUCAGAUUUGCCCUCCUAAGCUCUUCUCACUGCCAGCCCAGCCAGCUGCCCUCUCAACCCCGGGGAGCUGCCUGGUGCCAGAGGAGGACAGGAGGACAGACAGACAGAGGGCCUGAGGUGGUGUGGGCCCACUGCGGUCAAGUGGAGGGCCACGGUUCACCUCUCCAGGCGGCGGUGCCACCUUACCAGGUGCAGGGGCUUCCCUGGGGCCAGAGGGGCUCUUUCCUCACAAGGCAAACCCAGCGGCAAACCAAGGCGCCACACGGGUACAGGGGAAGGCUCCUUGGUCAAAACAGGCCCUGCCCUUCCCACCUCACAGCUUCUCAGGCCCUGAUCCACUCUGGGGUAGGCAAACACAAAGGGAAGCCAGUCAGGUCAACUAACAAAAAGAUUUGACAAGCCUUAGCUGGCCAAAAAGACAAUUUUAUAUGUAUAAGCUUAGCUUCAGAUCAGGGUGGGCAAAGCAUGGCAGGAGGGACAAAUGCCCCCCCAAAGGCUGUUUGACCCCCCAAUCACUCUGGAGACCCCCUCCCCUCAGGAAAAAAUCAGCCAAAGAGCAGACCAGGAUUGCCACACCUGGAGGCUUUGAUCCAAUGUUGUGGUUUUCCAGGAUGGAAGCCAAUGCCACCCAAAAACUUAUGGAGGGGAGAUUGGAAGGGGUCAUUCUUUCUUUGUUUAGCUGUCAAUUUUAUUUUGCAUUUUUGGGCCAAAUGUCAUCAACAGAAGAUCCCAGUGGCUGAAAACUGUCCCCCGGCCUCCCUUUAAAUCUUGGAGGAAAUAUGUCUCAUGUAUUUUAGCAUUAGGUCCUUCCACUUUUGAGGAAGAUGCCCACCCCAAAGCCUAAAGGAUGACCUCAAAGAGAAAGAAAAGGGCUGGUCCCUGGGAGCCAGAGGCCUUGCCAGGGCCACCCAGAGGGCAAAGCGGCAACGGAGUGGGGUGGCUACUGAGGCUGACACCAAUUUCUCCUCCCCAAAAAAGUCAGGGAGUCAACCGAGAAGCUGCAGCAGUGUCCAGGA